Molecule: transfer RNA, 97 nt
Filed under: Paractinoplanes durhamensis
Lineage: Bacteria; Bacillati; Actinomycetota; Actinomycetes; Micromonosporales; Micromonosporaceae
Description: Actinoplanes durhamensis tRNA-Arg
Source: RNAcentral
GGCGGCCCGGGCCGCCAGGCUCCUGCGGCCUGCCCGCUGCGGACGAGCGAUCCACGUUACCGGCGUUGGCCGGCUGGUUCGGCUUGGCCGGCCGUCC